RNAcentral lists this ribosomal RNA (253 nucleotides) under uncultured bacterium. RNAcentral's name for it is "partial 16S ribosomal RNA". It matches the Rfam family "Bacterial small subunit ribosomal RNA", at positions 524 to 776 of the family's 1533-position model. The record is from RNAcentral.
UACGGAGGGAGCAAGCGUUAUACGGAAUCACUGGGUUUAAAGGGUGCGUAGGCGGCUUGAUAAGUCAGGGGUGAAAGCCCGCAGCUUAACUGCGGAACUGCCUUUGAUACUGUCGAGCUUGAAAGAGGUUGAGGUCAGCGGAACGUGACAUGUAGCGGUGAAAUGCAUAGAUAUGUCACAGAACACCGAUUGCGAAGGCAGCUGGCUGGACCUACUUUGACGAUGAGGCACGAAAGCGUGGGGAGCGAACAGG